This 771-nucleotide ribosomal RNA is filed under the name uncultured bacterium. RNAcentral describes it as "bacterial SSU rRNA". It matches the Rfam family "Bacterial small subunit ribosomal RNA", at positions 8 to 796 of the family's 1533-position model. The record is from RNAcentral.
AGAGUUUGAUCAUGGCUCAGGACGAACGCUGGCGGCGUGCUUAACACAUGCAAGUCGAACGGAAAGACCCUUCGGGGUACUCGAGUGGCGAACGGGUGAGUAACACGUGGGUGAUCUGCCCUGCACUUUGGGAUAAGCCUGGGAAACUGGGUCUAAUACCGAAUAUGACCAUGCACUUCCUGGUGUGUGGUGGAAAGCUUUUGCGGUGUGGGAUGGGCCCGCGGCCUAUCAGCUUGUUGGUGGGGUAAUGGCCUACCAAGGCGACGACGGGUAGCCGGCCUGAGAGGGUGACCGGCCACACUGGGACUGAGAUACGGCCCAGACUCCUACGGGAGGCAGCAGUGGGGAAUAUUGCACAAUGGGCGCAAGCCUGAUGCAGCGACGCCGCGUGAGGGAUGACGGCCUUCGGGUUGUAAACCUCUUUCAGCACAGACGAAGCGCAAGUGACGGUAUGUGCAGAAGAAGGACCGGCCAACUACGUGCCAGCAGCCGCGGUAAUACGUAGGGUCCGAGCGUUGUCCGGAAUUACUGGGCGUAAAGAGCUCGUAGGUGGUUUGUCGCGUUGUUCGUGAAAACUCACAGCUUAACUGUGGGCGUGCGGGCGAUACGGGCAGACUUGAGUACUGCAGGGGAGACUGGAAUUCCUGGUGUAGCGGUGGAAUGCGCAGAUAUCAGGAGGAACACCGGUGACGAAGGCGAGUCUCUGGGCAGUAACUGACGCUGAGGAGCGAAAGCGUGGGGAGCGAACAGGAUUAGAUACCCCGGUAGUCC